UACGAAGGGGGCUAGCGUUGCUCGGAAUCACUGGGCGUAAAGCGCACGUAGGCGGGUCCUUAAGUCGGGGGUGAAAUCCUGGAGCUCAACUCCAGAACUGCCUUCGAUACUGGGGAUCUCGAGUCCGGGAGAGGUGAGUGGAACUCCGAGUGUAGAGGUGAAAUUCGUAGAUAUUCGGAAGAACACCAGUGGCGAAGGCGACUCACUGGACAUGUAUUGACGCUGAGGUGCGAAAGCGUGGGGAGCAAACAGG
This 253-nucleotide ribosomal RNA is filed under the name uncultured bacterium. RNAcentral describes it as "partial 16S ribosomal RNA". It matches the Rfam family "Bacterial small subunit ribosomal RNA", at positions 524 to 776 of the family's 1533-position model. The record is from RNAcentral.